Molecule: long non-coding RNA, 1508 nt
Organism: Lethenteron reissneri (Far Eastern brook lamprey)
Lineage: Eukaryota; Metazoa; Chordata; Hyperoartia; Petromyzontiformes; Petromyzontidae
Source: RefSeq, a predicted model, not a curated record
GCAGGCGGGGAUUCUGGGCUACCAACGCGUGGUGGCGGAUCUGCACGCUGAGCUGGUGCCAUCCCAUGAAAACUUGCAGAGCUUGCACGCACAGCUGCAGGAUCUGCAAGUGCGGCAACAGCAGAGCGAGGCGAAGCUCAUUGACCGGAAUUGGCAGCUGGAAUCUCUGCAGGCAGAGAUUCAGUGGUAUGAACGUGUGGUGGUGGAGCUGCACGCCGAGUUGGCGCCCUACCGCGACAACAGGAAGAGCGCACACUCAGAGCAGCAGCGUCUGCAGAGCGAGGUGGAGCUUCCUACGGUUGAGGAAGAGGACAUCUCUGGCUGCUCACUGGAGCCCGGCGUUCAAGAAGCCUCCCAAGACCUGCCCCCCAAGGCCUCCAACACCCUCGGCGCCUCUCACAUUGACUAACACACACAUAUCGACUGACACACACACACACACAUAUUGACUUACAAAUACACAUCGACUCACACACACGCAUGGAACUAAACACAAACAUGGACUUACACACACACACCGACUCACACACACACAUGCACUUACACACACAAUUACAUACGGACUUAUACACACACAUAUCGACUAAGACACACACACGUGGACUUACACACACACAUGGACCCCCGCACACACAUCGACUGACACACACACAUCGACUCACACACACACACUGCCCUACACACACAUACACAUAUGGACUCACACACACAGACAUCGACUUUAGAUACACACACAUGGAGUUACACACAAAGACAAAGAUCCCCCGUAUAGCCUUAACAGACUGUAGGGGCAAGUGCUGUUAGCGAGCACCUAUAAAGGCCGGAACGGCACACGAGGGGGUGGGUGGCCAGCAUCACGCCCGACCGCCUUUGUCUCCCCAGUGGCGAUGUUUAUGCACCGCACCAGGUACUCAUUUUAGGCUGAGUCGACCUAGGGGAGGCCCAGGACUGGUUCAGAUAAUUGUCACUGGUGUUGGCCGUGAGCGGGAAUCGAACCCGGGUUGCAGGUUCAUAGCGCAGCGCGCUAACUGCUACACUACCGCUCCCCACACAAAUAGACAAAUAUCCCCCGUGUAGCCUUAACAGACUGUAGGGGCAAGUGCUGUUAGCGAGCACCUAUGAAGGCAGGCACGGCACACGAGGGGGUGGGUGGCCAACACCACGCCCGGCCGCCUUUAUCUCCCUAGUGGCGAUGUUUACACACCGCACCAGGUACUCAUUUUAGGCUGAGUCGACCUAGGGGAGGCCCAGGACCGGUUCUGAUAACCAUCACCGGUAUUGGCCAUGAGCGGAAAUCGAACUCGGGUCGCCGGGUUCACAGCGCAGCGCGCUAACCGCUACACUACCACUCCCCACACACACACAUAAACGUACACACACACAUCGACUCACACACAUAUGGACUCAUCACACACACAUAUACACAUCGACGUACACACAUAUCGACUGACACAUAUGUAAUAUUGCUCGCAGAGACGGUGUCGUCUCUUCUGUUUGUUUAUUAUCAA